UUAACGGGUCCCGGUGGGGAUAAAAGAGUCUUCCAGUUUGAAUUUGCGCCUAGGCUUCAUUAUUUAAAAAAUAUUUUCAAUAUGUUUGUGUAUUUCUAUAUAGUAAGCUCUUAUUUACUGUACAGCCCAAAUUAUGCCAGUGGUUGGGUUCUGUGUUUCCAGAUUGCCUCCAGCUCUUAGGCUCUCCCCAGUACAAGGAAUUUUCAUUUUCAGUGUUCUAAAAAGUCUAAGCAAGCAUUUCCAAUGAAACUUUCUCCAUGAAUAUGAGUUUGUACAUUUCCACACUGUCAUGCAAUAACUGCUUACAACUUGUUGCAAGUGUUUGAAAAUCUUUCAUUUGACCUUUAUCCAUUAUUGAGAAAUGUAUUGUUAUACUUUUAAACGACCAGUUAGGGAAUCUAGUAUUUGUUUGAUUGGUGUUAAAAUCAGGGUCAUAGACACACCAUCUUAUAAUUCUCAGGUUAUUGUGUAGUUUAUGUUCUUAUUUUACUUCUGACCAGGUUUAUAAUUGGAGUUUUAUUCAAGGACUUUCAGUUUUGAAUUGAAUCUGUUCUAAAUCUUUAUUCCCCACCAUUACCUGCAGAGGAGGAUUCUGUAUAAGAGCUAAUUCAAUGUCCUUCCAUCGAACGUGGUUAUAGUUUUUAUUACAUCGGUUUAUCAGAGGUUUUAUUUGUGAAUAGGAGUAGUUCUUUACAUGCGGUAUGUUCACUUCCCCUAAUUCUUUUGAGAGUUGUAGUGUUUUAGAUCUAUUUGUAAGCUUUUUCAUAGCCAUAUAAAUCUGGAGAGCAUUGUAUCCAUCUCUAUAAAUUGCUUUUUUGUAAUUUUUACCAGUAGGGUUUGGAACAAGAGGAUAAAUAUUUGUAAUAUUUAUAUUUAAUAUUAAUAUUAAAUAAUUUAAUAUAUUUAAUAUUUAUAUUUAUUGGUAAUAUUUAUAAUAUAAUAUUAAUAUUUACAAUAUUCAUUUUGACAGAUUUAAUUUGUUAGGUUAAGCUCAUGAAGAGGGUGACAUGAGCUCAACCCAUGGUUGUAUAUCCAAUCUUAUUUAAGUCAGGAGAUCCUCAUGAUUACACUUAGCUCUAGUGGUUGCAUCUUUGGGCAUUAGAACACCGAGGUAUUUCUAUACGGUCUGGUCCCAUUUAGGUUUUAGUUCAGCACACAAAAUUUUUGAGGUUUAUAAUCAAAUGUCAAUGUCUGCGUUUUAUUCACAUUUAAUUUAUGUCCUGUAUUGUCACCAAAGUUGCUCAAGCUCAGAAAUAACAUAGGCAGUGAUGUGUUUGGUUCACUUAUAACAGCACAUCAUCUGUAUUUAGCGCCACCUUGUGUACAUCACCUGAAAUGCUUAUACCUUUCAUGCUUUAAAACGUUUGCCUUAUUAGUUGACACUAAGAGGUUCCACUAUAUGCAUAAUUAUGAAUUGAAGAAAGUGUGGAUAGUGGAAAGUAUACACAGGAGUUGGGGUAACUAUUGUUAACUUCAACCUGCAGGUCUAACAGUCAAACCUAACAGCAGAGCUAAACAGGACAGUGGCUGAUUUUUACACCUUUGCCGAGGAAGAUAAGAUCAGUGGAUAAGAUCAGCUUCACAUUUAAUUAUUGGUCAAUCACUGAUCUUCAAAAGUGAAGGAAAUCGAUGCUGAUAGAUCGGCUGGUUGAUAAAUCAGUGCACCUCUAGUUAAGGCACCUCAGUCAUAGGACACUGUUAGAUACUUAACACAAAAAGAUACAAAAA
Xiphophorus couchianus (Monterrey platyfish) is the source of this 1728-nucleotide long non-coding RNA. RefSeq lists it as uncharacterized. NCBI's taxonomy places the organism in Eukaryota, Metazoa, Chordata, Actinopteri, Cyprinodontiformes, Poeciliidae. The record is from RefSeq and is a predicted model, not a curated record. The transcript is spliced from 2 exons.